GACGACGCUGGCGGCGUGCCUAACACAUGCAAGUCGAGCGGAGUCGAUCGACGGAAGCCUUCGGGCGGAAGAUGGUUGACUUAGCGGCGGAUGGGUGAGUAACGCGUGGGCAACCUGCCUCGAAGACCGGGAUAACAGCCCGAAAGGGCUGCUAAUACCGGAUGUGGUCAAGGAUCCGCAUGGAUUUUGAUUAAAGGGGAAACCCGUUUCGAGAUGGGCCCGCGUCCUAUCAGCUAGUUGGUGAGGUAAAAGCUCACCAAGGCGACGACGGGUAGCCGGCCUGAGAGGGUGACCGGCCACACUGGAACUGAGACACGGUCCAGACUCCUACGGGGGGCAGCAGUGGGGAAUCUUCCACAAUGGGCGAAAGCCUGAUGGAGCGACGCCGCGUGAGCGAAGAAGGCCUUCGGGUUGUAAAGCUCUGUCUGGAGGGACGAAGGAAGUGACGGUACCUCCGGAGGAAGCCACGGCUAACUACGUG
This 481-nucleotide ribosomal RNA is filed under the name uncultured bacterium. RNAcentral describes it as "bacterial SSU rRNA". It matches the Rfam family "Bacterial small subunit ribosomal RNA", at positions 33 to 507 of the family's 1533-position model. The record is from RNAcentral.